UGGACGUCGUUUCCCUGCACAAAGAGAAGAGGAGAGGAUCUACGUAUACGUGAAAAGAAAAGGAAGAAAGUAAAGCAAUGCAAAAACAUAAAGCGAAAGAAAGGGGACCUUACAGGAACAAGCUCACAUCAAGCGCAAAACAGCGGUGUUUGGAGAAGCUCUCAGGCAGCUCCCUGCAGCAGCACAGAGACCUAAACAAUUUCCUCAGUGCACACAUAUGGACAUUGGGAAUUAUAUUGUUUACGAUAUGGCUGAAAAAGGUGAAUGCUGUAGCAGCAAAGUGUGGGACUACUUCUGCAAAUACUUUAACUUGAGUAUUAUAAUUCAUUUACAGUACACACAUAGACUGUUAAAACCAGCUUCAACUGGAAGAAAGUAAAAGUGUUAAAUGUUUAAAAUCAGACUGUUUUUUUGAUCAUUAAAAAAUAUAUACUUUUGAUGAGCAAUUGUUUAGUCAUUGAGACCGUAAUCUAAGGCUUUUUUUUUUUACAUUAAUCCCUUCUGGAAAAUGGUUUAUUCAGCCCACAUACAUAGAACAGGCAGAUAUUUUGCUAUUGAAUGUUGUGUAAGUGCAGUUUAUAGGAAAUGGGUAUAAUAUCCAGUUUAUUUUCAAAAGCAAAAUAUCGGCUUAUAAAUCGGCUCUUUUUGAGUUAAUAUCGGCAUUGGGCCCCAAAAAUCCAUAUCGGUCGGGCUCUAAAAAAUAGUAACCUAAAAAUUUUAUAAUCUAAAUUAACACAUUUUAUUCAAAUCUAAAAUAUUAUUAAACAUCACUUAAUUAAUCAUUAAUUUAUAAAUUACAUCAUUUAUAAUUAAUAAGCUGAUCUAAUAAAGACAUGGCACAGCCUCUACUUAGCUUGUGCUAAUGCUUCAAAAGCUGAAUUGUUUGCAAAUGGUCAGUCAUUGCUCAUAUCUGUCCCACGGCCACUCUCAUGAGGAAAUCUUAACCUGUUCACCCUUCAAAGCUAGGCCGACUUAAUUCUGCUCUAGCAGGAAGGCCUUUACGCUGAGCCAUGCCCUUUUGGAUGCGCUUACUUCUUAGCCCCUUCAGUAAGCAGUUAUGGGAGAUUGUGUGUAAUGUCUGUGCUUGUAGAGGUCCCCUGAAUUUUAUGACUGGUAUUAUAUAUCCUUUACUUUUCAGUGUUGGAACUGUUCCGAGCCAAUUAUGUGGCAUGAUUGGAUAUGGUUUUCCAUAGCAUCAACAACUGACGCAAAGCUGAGUGAACUAUAAUAUGACAAGCAGUGUAACCUUCAGAAGCCCCUCUCUGAAUAGUUCAGGGAAGAGAGAGAGCGGAAGGAUGACUGAAGCCCUUGGCAAGAGACCACCACCCGCUACAGAGAAAUCACAAAUCAAAUCCGAUAAGAAAAGGAGCCGAACCAGAGUAAACAUCAGCACUGCUUUCAAUCACUGGAGAUAACUGAUGGACUUGAAAGAAAUGAGGUUCGACUCCGAACUUGCAACAUUUCUUUUGGAUUGCACUAGACUCCUCCAGCUGUAAACCACUAUUCUCUACUUCCAGCUGUUCUCACCUCGCAUCAGCAGAAGUGUCUCCUGAACUGAAGUUGGAUGGUUCACACGCUGACUGAUUACUCUUCAUAGACACAAAACUGGGUUCAGGAGAUUCUUUCUGUAUCAGACUGAAACACAACAGCACUUUUUAAUACACUCUUUUAAGCAGUGUUCACAAAAAAAAAAAGAAAGGAAAAAUGUUAGUUUCAAAAGUAAAAAAAAAAAAAGGAAAAAUGUUAGUUUCAAAUGAAAAAAAAAAAAAAAGGAAAAAUGUUAGUUUCAAAUGUAAAAAAAAAAAAAGGAAAAAUGUUAGUUUCAAAUGUAAAAAAAAAAAAAAAAAAAAAGAUGAUUUUAUAUUUUCAAGAAAAGGUUGAUGAUUAAAGCUUUCUUGUGAUGUAACCAUUAAGCAGAAGUAAUUAUAUAUAGUCAUGGUACCUUGUGUGUACACAUCUUAAGUUAUAAAAAAAAAGCUUUUGUACCUUUUAGAAAUAUUGUGUAAAAAAAAAAUCAUAAAUUACAAUAUCAUAAAAACUGCAAUAAGAAUAUGUAAGUACAUAAAUCAGUGUUCAAAUCUGCCUCCCAGACCCAGAUUCAACACUAUCAGCUUACAACAAUAAUUUUAGCGUCGAGUUGGAUUUCAGUAAAAAAUAUAUACUGUAUAUUAUUUUGUCAUUCAAGUGUCAUUUGCACUAAGUGUCAUUCACUUUUAUCGUGUUUGUGUGUUUUCGCGCAUGUUCCAGUGACUUAUUUCUUAUUAGUUUUCUAAUAACUUAUCUUUGGUGAUGAAAUGAUGGGGUUGCGUGAUGUUGUUCCUGAGAGGUGUGUAAAGGGUGUGCUUAAGUGACGCGCAGCGGAGCUAUUCUGGCCUCUGUGCUACUGGCCCGAGGCUAUGAGCCCCGCCCGGCCCUCUUUAAGCCCUGGAACGCACUGGCCCGACAGUGGAAAUUAGGCUUUUGAGAAUAUAUGACCCUUAUGUUAUCAGUCUCAUCUAACAACUGUCUUUGCCAAGGUCAUGUUCACGCUCAGGUCAAGUUAUUUUUGUGUUUUUAUUAGCUUUGUAUUUGUUUUGUUUUUUAUUAUUUUAAAAAACUACAGAUGGGUUCAACUCAGUUCACCUUCAGUAGACAUUUGUUACAAAUGCAUGCAGUUUUUACAAUUUACUCUGACAAUGAAGCAGACAGAGCUGUUCCUUCAGCUCUAAACAUGGAACUGGGAAGAUUAUUCUCACCUCACAUCAGCAGAAGUGUCUCCUGAACUGAAGUUGGAUGGUUCACACGCUGACUGAUUGCUCUUCAUAGACACAAAACUGGGUUCAGGAGAUUCUUUCUGUAUCAGACUGAAGCACAACAAUAAUUAAACAAUGUUUUUAGAGUG
Molecule: long non-coding RNA, 2881 nt
Organism: Carassius gibelio (silver crucian carp)
Lineage: Eukaryota; Metazoa; Chordata; Actinopteri; Cypriniformes; Cyprinidae
Exons: 5
Source: RefSeq, a predicted model, not a curated record